RNAcentral lists this transfer RNA (75 nucleotides) under Ruminococcus sp. YE282. RNAcentral describes it as "tRNA_Gly_TCC". It matches the Rfam family "tRNA". Rfam says of the family: Transfer RNA (tRNA) molecules are approximately 80 nucleotides in length. Their secondary structure includes four short double-helical elements and three loops (D, anti-codon, and T loops). The record is from RNAcentral. Lineage: Bacteria; Bacillati; Bacillota; Clostridia; Eubacteriales; Oscillospiraceae.
GCAGAUAUGAUGUAGCUGGUAGCAUAUCAGCCUUCCAAGCUGAAUGGGCGAGUUCAAAUCUCGUUAUCUGCUCCA